AGUGAACGCUGGCGGUAGGCCUAACACAUGCCAGUCGAACGGCAGCACAGUAAGAGCUUGCUCUUACGGGUGGCGAGUGGCGGACGGGUGAGGAAUACAUCGGAAUCUACUUUUUCGUGGGGGAUAACGUAGGGAAACUUACGCUAAUACCGCAUACGACCUACGGGUGAAAGCAGGGGAUCUUCGUACCUUGCGCGAUUGAAUGAGCCGAUGUCGGAUUAGCUAGUUGGCGGGGUAAAGGCCCACCAAGGCGACGAUCCGUAGCUGGUCUGAGAGGAUGAUCAGCCACACUGGAACUGAGACACGGUCCAGACUCCUACGGGAGGCAGCAGUGGGGAAUAUUGGACAAUGGGCGCAAGCCUGAUCCAGCCAUACCGCGUGGGUGAAGAAGGCCUUCGGGUUGUAAAGCCCUUUUGUUGGGAAAGAAAAGCAGCAGGUUAAUACCCCGCUGUUCUGACGGUACCCAAAGAAUAGGCACCGGCUAACUUCGUG
Molecule: ribosomal RNA, 492 nt
Filed under: uncultured bacterium
Lineage: Bacteria
Description: partial 16S ribosomal RNA
Rfam family: Bacterial small subunit ribosomal RNA
Source: RNAcentral